Heligmosomoides polygyrus is the source of this 76-nucleotide non-coding RNA. The record is from Rfam. NCBI's taxonomy places the organism in Eukaryota, Metazoa, Nematoda, Chromadorea, Rhabditida, Heligmosomidae.
CAUCUCAGGUCCGGCGUCAGAGGGUUAUCGGUUAUCCCGCAAGGGAAUUUCCCUCUGGCACAACCUUGACCGGGAU